UGACUUGGUAGGUGUGUGUGUUUUAACUCUACUGUAAAAUUCAUGUGGUGUGUGAUAAAACUUUCACGUUAUUACUAGUAAGGAUAAUACAUCUAAAUUUUGGACUCAAAAGCUGCUAAUCAAUUAUUGUGAUUAAAUGUGUCAUGAAUAAUGUGAAAUUGCUAGUGGAAUACACUGGGGAGAUGGUAGUGGACCGUUUGUUAGG
RNAcentral lists this long non-coding RNA (205 nucleotides) under Arabidopsis lyrata. RNAcentral describes it as "long non-coding RNA (ALYR_LNC002403)". Lineage: Eukaryota; Viridiplantae; Streptophyta; Magnoliopsida; Brassicales; Brassicaceae. The record is from RNAcentral.